Peromyscus californicus insignis is the source of this 1249-nucleotide long non-coding RNA. RefSeq lists it as uncharacterized. The transcript has 5 exons. NCBI's taxonomy places the organism in Eukaryota, Metazoa, Chordata, Mammalia, Rodentia, Cricetidae. The record is from RefSeq and is a predicted model, not a curated record.
GCAAGAAACUAGCAUGGAUCUUUGAUCCCAUGCCCGUAUCUAGAGAAAUUAUGAGGUCUCUAGGAUGGGAUAAUAGAGUGUCAUCAAGACUUCUAGCUUUAGGAAAUUACUUAAUCUCCAUUCUCAGUGGCUGCUGCUCUGAGACAGCUGUGACAGAAAGGUCCCAAGUGCUAUUGAAAACAGCUCAUCAGUUCAGAACAAAGCUGAUUAUGUAAAUUGUGCAUUAAGAUGCAGCUCCAAUUUAAUUUUACUCUGUAAAUAAAUAUCCCAUUAGCAUCCAUCUGUUGCCAGUCAGGUAAGGCCUUCUCUAAACGGAUAUGACCAAGCCCCCAGUGGCUUCUCUUGGAAUGCUGAUGGGGUGUGGGAGGGUGAGGGUUAAGACACCCAAAUUCUCUGUGUAGAACUUAAUUUUGUUCUUGAAAUGGCAAGUCAGCUAUAAAAUCAAUUGAGGGCAAGAAGAAGCUGUGAUUGGCCCAAAACAACAGGACACCUCAUCUAUUUCUGGGCCUGCUUGUCGGGGACACAUGAAAGCUUUCUCUGAUUGUUGUCAUGGAGAUCAAUAAUAAUUAUAGCUAGCCGAUUCCCUCCAAAAAUAAAAACAUUUCAGCUGAUGAGAAGCGAACACUAAAUUAGCACCCGGUCUUUCGGCUGUGGGGCAAUUUAUCAGGCCGAGCGGCACGUGAGUGUUGUCUUAGCUGAACCUGAGGAUGCAGCUCUCCCCUCAGAACGAGUUCCCCUCAGCCGUCCGUCCAAGGAUGGUUUCUUCGGUACUCUUAGCCUGAGUGAAUCAAAGACGUCGACGGAUUGAAUGAAGCAUCAUGGGGACUGUCAGCGCUAAAGCAACAUAUCAGACAGGGUUCCGUGUGCUGAAAUGAGCCUCCCACUAGAGACACUGUCACUGAAGACUGACCUGGUCCAGAUCAACUAACAACACCAGGAAUCUUCAGUAUCUGCCACUCCUCAGAAUCAGAGACCACACUGGUGGAAGCAUCUUGUCGUCUCGAAACUACCGACUUCCUUGCUCUCGAUUACCGUUCCUCUCAGGAUUAAAAAUACGGCGACAAAGCAAAUUUGUUCAAGUGAAGAAGAGGAGAAGGAAUUGAUUUUGGAGUCACAUAGAUGCAGGGUCAAAUCCUACGAUGUCGGACAGAUCCAUUUCUCCUUCCUUCAUGAACUUAUGGUUAACAAGUGCUCAGGAAAGUUGGUCCCUUUAGGCAUACAUGAAAUAAAGAAUGCAGAGUCCUCCACG